AACAAAAAAAGCUAAGCCUAUCGGAAGGUAGGUACAGAAAGUCGCGGAUCCAGAAUGAUGGAAAGCCGGACUGCCGAG
This 78-nucleotide non-coding RNA is filed under the name Methyloglobulus morosus KoM1. RNAcentral's name for it is "Methylococcaceae bacterium KoM1 c-di-GMP-I riboswitch aptamer". It matches the Rfam family "c-di-GMP-I riboswitch aptamer". Rfam says of the family: GEMM was predicted in a large-scale screen for bacterial structured RNA regulatory elements. Lineage: Bacteria; Pseudomonadati; Pseudomonadota; Gammaproteobacteria; Methylococcales; Methylococcaceae. RNAcentral also lists the same sequence under 1 other name. The record is from Rfam by way of RNAcentral.